Molecule: unclassified non-coding RNA, 202 nt
Filed under: uncultured Orbiliales
Lineage: Eukaryota; Fungi; Ascomycota; Orbiliomycetes; Orbiliales
Description: sequence contains ITS1
Source: RNAcentral
CCAAAUAAACCGGCCGAAAGGCCUUGCCCUAGGGAGGGGGAAACCCCCCCCGACGGUAAACCCUUUGUGAAAACCCCCUUGUUUGCCUCGGCGGCACCUUCUAGUCCCCUAGCGGGGCGCGAAGGGUCAGCCCGCCGACGGCACCAACCGAAACUCUUUUGCGAAUAGAAGUCUAGUCUGAAUCAAUGGUCGAAUGACUAUA